GCCUGAUGCUGAAACAGUUCCAGCUAAGCCCCUGAGAUGGAGUAGUCUUUAUGAGGAUUUUCCCUCAAACAACAUGGGUCAUAUCCUACGCAUGGCUUCUUAUCCAUGGACUUCUGUACAUGUCUUCACACAAGUUCUCCACGAGGGUCUACCAACCAUGCUUAAGCCCUACAUGAUUUCUCCUGACAUCUUGAGGAUGCCUGUGACCAGUGACCUCACCUUCAACAUUCUUGGAGGCAACCUUGUAUGGACAAGCAGCAUGGAGCUCCUGACUUCCAUAGUGGAUUCUAGCUGCACUAAAGGAAGUUCUCUCUACAAAUGCUAA
This 325-nucleotide long non-coding RNA is filed under the name Vombatus ursinus (common wombat). RNAcentral's name for it is "lncRNA (ENSVURG00010023261.1)". The record is from RNAcentral. Lineage: Eukaryota; Metazoa; Chordata; Mammalia; Diprotodontia; Vombatidae.